This 451-nucleotide ribosomal RNA is filed under the name uncultured bacterium. RNAcentral's name for it is "bacterial SSU rRNA". It matches the Rfam family "Bacterial small subunit ribosomal RNA", at positions 328 to 794 of the family's 1533-position model. The record is from RNAcentral.
UGGCCAGACUCCUACGGGAGGCAGCAGUGGGGAAUAUUGGUCAAUGGGCGCAAGCCUGACCCAGCAACGCCGCGUGAAGGAAGAAGGCUUUCGGGUUGUAAACUUCUUUUCUCAGGGACGAAGAAAGUGACGGUACCUGAGGAAUAAGCCACGGCUAACUACGUGCCAGCAGCCGCGGUAAUACGUAGGUGGCAAGCGUUAUCCGGAUUUAUUGGGUUUAAAGGGUGCGUAGGCGGAAUAUCAAGUCAGCGGUAAAAAUUCGGGGCUCAACCCCGUCGUGCCGUUGAAACUGAUGUUCUUGAGUGGGCGAGAAGUAUGCGGAAUGCGUGGUGUAGCGGUGAAAUGCAUAGAUAUCACGCAGAACUCCGAUUGCGAAGGCAGCAUACCGGCGCCCAACUGACGCUGAAGCACGAAAGCGUGGGUAUCGAACAGGAUUAGAUACCCCUGUAUU